GUCCCUGGAGAGCAAUGUAUAGUUUUUUGAACUUCUGAUCCAAAGGUCGUGGGUUCGAAUCCCACCUGGGAUA
Trichonephila clavata is the source of this 73-nucleotide non-coding RNA. Lineage: Eukaryota; Metazoa; Arthropoda; Arachnida; Araneae; Nephilidae. The record is from the annotation of a GenBank genome assembly.